Molecule: ribosomal RNA, 701 nt
Filed under: uncultured Acremonium
Lineage: Eukaryota; Fungi; Ascomycota
Description: SSU rRNA
Rfam family: Eukaryotic small subunit ribosomal RNA
Source: RNAcentral
AAGCUCGUAGUUGAACCUUGGGCCUGGCUGGCCGGUCCGCCUCACCGCGUGCACUGGUCCGGCCGGGCCUUUCCCUCUGUGGAACCCCAUACCCUUCACUGGGCGUGGCGGGGAAACAGGACAUUUACUUUGAAAAAAUUAGAGUGCUCCAGGCAGGCCUAUGCUCGAAUACAUUAUCAUGGAAUAAUAAAAUAGGACGCGCGGUUCUAUUUUGUUGGUUUAUAGGACCGCCGUAAUGAUUAAUAGGGACGGUCGGGGGCAUCAGUAUUCAACUGUCAGAGGUGAAAUUCUUGGAUCAGUUGAAGACUAACUACUGCAAAAGCAUUUGCCAAGGAUGUUUUCAUUAAUCAGGAACGAAAGUUAGGGGAUCGAAGACGAUCAGAUACCGUCGUAGUCUUAACCAUAAACUAUGCCGACUAGGGAUCGGACGGUGUUAUUCAUGACCCGUUCGGCACCUUACGAGAAAUCAAAGUGCUUGGGCUCCAGGGGGAGUAUGGUCGCAAGGCUGAAACUUAAAGAAAUUGACGGAAGGGCACCACCAGGGGUGGAGCCUGCGGCUUAAUUUGACUCAACACGGGGAAACUCACCAGGUCCAGACACAAUAAGGAUUGACAGAUUGAGAGCUCUUUCUUGAUUUUGUGGGUGGUGGUGCAUGGCCGUUCUUAGUUGGUGGGGUGACUUGUCUGCUUAAUUGCGAUAAC